GAUCCUGGCUCAGAACAAACGCUGGUGGCAUGCUUAACACAUGCAAGUCGCACGAGAAAAAUUCUUCGGGAAUUGAGUAAAGUGGCGCACGGGUGAGUAACACGUAAGAACCUGCCCUUGGGUUUGGAAUAACAUCGCGAAAGUGGUGCUAAUACCAGAUAAUAUCUACGGAUCAAAGGAGGCUUUGCUUCUGCCUGGGGAGGGGCUUGCGCCCCAUUAGCUUGUUGGUGAGGUAACGGCUCACCAAGGCUUCGAUGGGUAGCCGGCCUGAGAGGGUGUACGGCCACACUGGAACUGAGACACGGUCCAGACUCCUACGGGAGGCAGCAGUGGGGAAUAUUGGGCAAUGGGCGAAAGCCUGACCCAGCAAUGCCGUGUGGGUGAUGAAGCCCCUAGGGGUGUAAAACCCUUUUAUAAGGGAAGAACCCCGAAAGGAGUAAUAUACCUUUCGGCUGACGGUACCUUAUGAAUAAGCCCCGGCUAACUCCGUGCCAGCAGCCGCGGUAAUACGGAGGGGGCAAGCGUUGUUCGGAAUUACUGGGCGUAAAGGGCGUGUCGGCGGCCUUGUAGGUCAGAUGUGAAAUCCCCAAGCUUAACUUGGGAAUUGCGUUUGAAACCAUGGGGCUUGAGGCUGGGAGAGGAAAGCGGAAUUCCUGGUGUAGCGGUGAAAUGCGUAGAUAUCAGGAGGAACACCGGUGGCGAAGGCGGCUUUCUGGACCAGUUCUGACGCUUAGGCGCGAAAGCGUGGGGAGCGAACGGGAUUAGAUACCCCGGUAGUCCACGCCGUAAACGUUGAGCACUAGGUGUAGCGGGUAUCGACCCCUGCUGUGCCGCAGUAAACGCAUUAAGUGCUCCGCCUGGGGAUUACGGUCGCAAGACUGAAACUCAAAGGAAUUGACGGGGGCCCGCACAAGCGGUGGAGUAUGUGGUUUAAUUCGAUGCAACGCGAAGAACCUUACCGGGGCUUGACAUGUUGGUGGUAGGAAUCCGAAAGGUGACCGACCCUUCGGGGAGCCCUCACAGGUGCUGCAUGGCUGUCGUCAGCUCGUGUCGUGAGAUGUUGGGUUAAGUCCCGCAACGAGCGCAACCCCUACCCUUAGUUGCCAUCAGUUCGGCUGGGAACUCUAGGGGAACUGCCGGUGACAAACCGGAGGAAGGUGGGGAUGACGUCAAGUCCUCAUGGCCCUUAUGCCCCGGGCUACACACGUACUACAAUGGUCGGUACAAUGGGUCGCAAGACCGCAAGGUGGAGCUAAUCUCAAAAAACCGGCCUCAAUUCAGAUUGGAGUCUGCAACUCGACUCCAUGAAGUUGGAAUCGCUAGUAAUCGCGGAUCAGCACGCCGCGGGAAUUCGUUCCCGGGCCUUGUACACACCGCCCGUCGCACCACGAAAGUUGGUUGCACUAGAAGUCACUAGGCUAACCCGCAAGGGGGGCAGGUGCCCAAGGUGUGAUCAAUGAUUGGGGUGAAGUC
RNAcentral lists this ribosomal RNA (1473 nucleotides) under uncultured organism. Its description in RNAcentral is "bacterial SSU rRNA". It matches the Rfam family "Bacterial small subunit ribosomal RNA". The record is from RNAcentral.